CAGGGAAUAUUGCACAAUGGGCGCAAGCCUGAUGCAGCGACGCCGCGUGAGGGAUGAAGGCCUUCGGGUUGUAAACCUCUUUCGGGAGGGAAGAAGCGAAAGUGACGGUACCUCCAGAAGAAGACCCGGCCAACUACGUGCCAGCAGCCGCGGUAAUAA
RNAcentral lists this ribosomal RNA (159 nucleotides) under uncultured bacterium. RNAcentral describes it as "partial 16S ribosomal RNA". It matches the Rfam family "Bacterial small subunit ribosomal RNA", at positions 355 to 526 of the family's 1533-position model. The record is from RNAcentral.